GACGAACGCUGGCGGCGUGCUUAACACAUGCAAGUCGAACGGAACGGCCCUGCUUGCAGGGUACUCGAGUGGCGAACGGGUGAGUAACACGUGGGUGAUCUGCCCUGCACCUCGGGAUAAGCCUGGGAAACUGGGUCUAAUACCGGAUAGGAGCCAUUUUUAGUGUGAUGGUUGGAAAGUUUUUUCGGUGUAGGAUGAGCUCGCGGCCUAUCAGCUUGUUGGUGGGGUAAUGGCCUACCAAGGCGGCGACGGGUAGCCGGCCUGAGGGGGUGGACGGCCACAUUGGGACUGAGAUACGGCCCAGACUCCUACGGGAGGCAGCAGUGGGGAAUAUUGCACAAUGGGCGCAAGCCUGAUGCAGCGACGCCGCGUGGGGGAUGACGGCCUUCGGGUUGUAAACUCCUUUCGCUAGGGACGAAGCUUUUUGUGACGGUACCUAGAUAAGAAGCACCGGCUAACUACGUG
Molecule: ribosomal RNA, 465 nt
Filed under: uncultured bacterium
Lineage: Bacteria
Description: partial 16S ribosomal RNA
Rfam family: Bacterial small subunit ribosomal RNA
Source: RNAcentral